CUACGGGGUGCUGCAGUGAGGAAUAUUGCACAAUGGGGGGAACCCUGAUGCAGCAACGCCGCGUGGAGGAUGACGCAUUUCGGUGUGUAAACUCCUUUUAUAUGUCAAGAAAAUGACGGUAGCAUAUGAAUAAGCACCGGCUAACUCCGUGCCAGCAGCCGCGGUGAAUACGGAGGGUGCAAGCGUUACUCGGAAUCACUGGGCGUAAAGGACGCGUAGGCGGGUUGGAAAGUCAGGUGUGAAAUCCCACAGCUUAACUGUAGAACUGCACUUGAAACUUCUAAUCUAGAGUAUGGGAGGGGGAGAUGGAAUUAGUGGUGUAGGGGUAAAAUCCGUAGAUAUCACUAGGAAUACCUAAAGCGAAGGCGAUCUCCUGGAACAUUACUGACGCUAAGGCGUGAAAGCGUGGGGAGCAAACAGGAUUAGAUACCCGAGUAGUC
Molecule: ribosomal RNA, 440 nt
Filed under: uncultured bacterium
Lineage: Bacteria
Description: partial 16S ribosomal RNA
Rfam family: Bacterial small subunit ribosomal RNA
Source: RNAcentral